Molecule: small nuclear RNA, 190 nt
Filed under: Naja naja (Indian cobra)
Lineage: Eukaryota; Metazoa; Chordata; Lepidosauria; Squamata; Elapidae
Description: U2 spliceosomal RNA (ENSNNAG00000006554.1)
Rfam family: U2 spliceosomal RNA
About the family: U2 is a small nuclear RNA (snRNA) component of the spliceosome (involved in pre-mRNA splicing).
Source: Rfam by way of RNAcentral
CUGGCUUCUCGGCCUUUUGGCUAAGAUCAAGUGUGUAGAAUUUAUUCUUCAAUCAGUAGUUGGCGGUUGCUGCUAAGCUCUUGUUUCCACCAUUUUUGGAUAUAGAAUUCUUUAUUGGCCAAGUGUGAUUGGACACACAAGGAAUUUGUCUUGGUGCAAAUGCUCUCAGUGUACAUAAAAGAAAAGACAC